CUGGGCUGAGAAUUGCUGCCAGGGAAUGGGACUGUUACACAGUUAAGCCAUCGACACUGCUACACCAAUGCCUUCAGCCUUAUUUAAUGCACAAGAUGUAACUCUGGGUCUUCCUUUCCUGUGGCGGUCCUCAUGAGAGACAGUUUCAUCAUAGCGCUUGAUGGUUUUUGCAACUGCACUUGAAGACACAGGACACCGGGCGGGACACCAGUCCCGAAGAACUAUUGGAUAUCAGAGCGACGUCAACUUACCAGCACUACGACCAGGAAAACUACUUUCCCAAAGCGGAUCCUUCGUCCUCACCACCCAGGGCAUUUGAACUGAUCCCAGAGGCCGACCCAAAACAACGA
Oncorhynchus nerka (sockeye salmon) is the source of this 350-nucleotide long non-coding RNA. RefSeq lists it as uncharacterized. The transcript is spliced from 3 exons. Lineage: Eukaryota; Metazoa; Chordata; Actinopteri; Salmoniformes; Salmonidae. The record is from RefSeq and is a predicted model, not a curated record.